This 487-nucleotide ribosomal RNA is filed under the name uncultured bacterium. Its description in RNAcentral is "partial 16S ribosomal RNA". It matches the Rfam family "Bacterial small subunit ribosomal RNA", at positions 28 to 523 of the family's 1533-position model. The record is from RNAcentral.
GACGAACGCUGGCGGCGUGCUUAACGCAUGCAAGUCGAACGGUGACCUCGAGAGCUUGCUCUCGAGUGAUCAGUGGCGAACGGGUGAGUAACACGUGAGUAACCUACCCCUGACUCUGGAAUAACAAUUGGAAACAGUUGCUAAUACCGGAUACGACACGAGCGGGCAUCCGCAUCGUGUGGAAAGUUUUUUCGGUCUGGGAUGGACUCGCGGCCUAUCAGCUUGUUGGUGAGGUAACGGCUCACCAAGGCGACGACGGGUAGCCGGCCUGAGGGGGCGACCGGCCACACUGGGACUGGGACACGGCCCAGACUCCUACGGGAGGCAGCAGUGGGGAAUAUUGCACAAUGGGCGAAAGCCUGAUGCAGCGACGCCGCGUGAGGGAUGACGGCCUUCGGGUUGUAAACCUCUUUCAGUAGGGAAGAAGCGAAAGUGACGGUACCUACAGAAGAAGCACCGGCUAACUCCGUGCCAGCAGCCGCCGCAG